This 484-nucleotide ribosomal RNA is filed under the name uncultured bacterium. Its description in RNAcentral is "partial 16S ribosomal RNA". It matches the Rfam family "Bacterial small subunit ribosomal RNA", at positions 30 to 507 of the family's 1533-position model. The record is from RNAcentral.
AUUGAACGCUGGCGGCAGGCCUAACACAUGCAAGUCGAGCGGAUGAAGGGAGCUUGCUCCUGGAUUCAGCGGCGGACGGGUGAGUAAUGCCUAGGAAUCUGCCUGGUAGUGGGGGAUAACGUCCGGAAACGGGCGCUAAUACCGCAUACGUCCUGAGGGAGAAAGGGGGGGAUCUUCGGACCUCACGCUAUCAGAUGAGCCUAGGCCGGAUUAGCUAGUUGGUGGGGUAAAGGCCUACCAAGGCGACGAUCCGUAACUGGUCUGAGAGGAUGAUCAGUCACACUGGAACUGAGACACGGUCCAGACUCCUACGGGAGGCAGCAGUGGGGAAUAUUGGACAAUGGGCGAAAGCCUGAUGCAGCCAUGCCGCGUGUGUGAAGAAGGUCUUCGGAUUGUAAAGCACUUUAAGUUGGGAGGAAGGGCAGUAAGUUAAUACCUUGCUGUUUUGACGUUACCAACAGUAUAAGCCCCGGCUAACUUCGUG